GUAGGUGAACCUGCGGAGGGAUCAUUACCGAGUGAGGGCCCUCGCGCCCGACCUCCAACCCUUUGUCGAUUAAUAUCUGUUGCCUCGGGGGGCGACCCGGACGUCCGCGGCCGGGAGUCCCCCAGAGGACCAAUCAACUCUGCAUCUUUGCGUCGAGUAUUGAAUACAAAUCAAUCAAAACUUUUAACAACGGAUCUCUUGGUUCUG
RNAcentral lists this unclassified non-coding RNA (207 nucleotides) under rhizosphere metagenome. RNAcentral's name for it is "partial ribosomal RNA internal transcribed spacer region". The record is from RNAcentral.